CAUUCUUUGUUUCUGAACUCUGGUCUUAAUGUACUCACAUUUGUGGUGUUGUUUUGCAAUGUUUCUAUCAGAGUUCAAAUUAAUAGGGAGUUGGUUCAUUAAUUUUUCUUGAAUUUAUCCAGCAAAUAAUUACCUAGUUCCUAGUGCCUUGCCAGGCACUGAGAUAUAGCAUGAACAAAAUAGACUUUUGUCUCCUCUGUGGAGCUUCUAUUCUAGUGGGAAAAGCAUAUAUCUACUAAAGGCAUACAACUUUAAAAAAUUAAGAAUGGCUAAAAAUAUGAAGACAAAUGUUUGAAAUUACAAAGUAGACCAGGAACCACAGAAAUGAGGCUGAAGACUGGCUCCAAGAAUGGCACAGACAGGUAUGUAUUCUACACAAUGAGAAGAUGCUUCAUUGAUGAGAACAGAUGGAUGGGUAGAUUGGUUAAAAAUAUCACUGAGCAGGUAAGUAAAAGAGAUAUUUUGGUUUGGAGAAUUUGUGCAUAUCCCUCCAUCUGUGCCUAGUUUCACACCACAUUUAACAGGAAAGCAGCACCAUAACCCAGAGAGGUACAUAAGCUUGGAAGUCAAUUAGACAUGGAUUUGAAUCCCAACUCUGCCACUUAUUAACCUUGGGAGAAAUGAUG
Molecule: long non-coding RNA, 626 nt
Filed under: Heterocephalus glaber (naked mole-rat)
Lineage: Eukaryota; Metazoa; Chordata; Mammalia; Rodentia; Bathyergidae
Description: lncRNA (ENSHGLG00100052031.1)
Source: RNAcentral